AUGGUCCAGAGAAGAGGUACUUGGCACUGUGUCCCAGGCUGUGCAGGGCAGCCUGCCCCUAAGGCUGGCCGCUGUGAUACAUGACCACAACCUAUACGGGCCACCAGCUUCCAGACACUCCUAAGAAUGGUUUCCUCCUGUCACUUAGAAGGUUUGGGAGCUCAGGGCUCAGGACACAGGGGCCUGAAGAGUGUGGCCUCAGGGAAGAAGAGGGAGGGGAACGGAUGUCCAGGUGUGCAGGAGGGCAGAGCCACGGAGCUGAGAAGCUGGGGACAGCCUGACAACUCAACCCACUCAAGACCUGUCAAGGAUAUGCAGGAGCUUUUGUUCCCAAGGAAAAGAGGCAACAGCUCCACCCUGGGGUCCCAGGCACACUUGGCCUGCCUGACACUGAGUGAGACUGGACCAGGACCACAGAGAUUUCUGCUUCUCCCUCGGGGACAGCAAUGUGAAGUCAUGAGCAGCAACAGUCUACAACAAAGUUGGUAAGAGCAGGGACUGGUGCAGAAGCACCAGGAAAGUCAAGCUGAAGAUGGAGAGGAGACUUGAGGAAAACUUUCUAGCACUCGAGCACCUGCCUAUGCACAAUAUAGCAUCAGAGAAAGCUGGGGCCAGUCGUGCUCUGAAGUGAAACAGAGCAACAAUAAAACCCAGAUCCAACUCAGCUACUUCUCAGAUUGAGCCAACUUUCCAAAUCAAGUACCUGGAAAGAGAGUCACGCUGUGCAUACCCCUUUCCAAGAAUGGAUAUUCUAUGCCUGGGUACAUAUGCAAAAGAACCGAAAGCAGGAACUCAUAGAUGCCUGCACACCAACAUGCAUAGCAGCAAAGAAGUGCAAGCAACCUAAUGUGAUCAGCAAACGAAUGGGUGGACAAAGUGUGGUGCUGACAUACAAGGGAAUUGGUGAAAUUCUGACUCAUGAAUGAACCUUGAAAUAUUAGACUGGGUGAAAUAAACAAUAAAAAAUGGUUAACAUGGUAUAAUUUCACUUGUGUGGGGUGUCUAGAGUUGUAAACCUCACAGAGAUAUAAAAUAGAAUAGAGUUUACCAGGGAGUGGGGGGAAGGAUGAGAGGGGAGUUGUCUUGGGGGGUGGUAAAGUGUUAUAGAAGCGGGUAGUGCUGAUAACAUCACAUGCUGUGAAUGUGCUGAAUGUCACUAAAUUGUACAUUUAAAAUGGCUAAAAUGGUAAGUUUUAUAAUAAUAAAUGUACUAAUUUUUGUACUAGAUUCUUAAUCAAAACAUUUUAAUCUCUUAUGCCUCCAGGCUGAGACAGCUUCAUUGGUAGACUUACCAAACAUAUAAGGAA
Molecule: long non-coding RNA, 1307 nt
Filed under: Chinchilla lanigera (long-tailed chinchilla)
Lineage: Eukaryota; Metazoa; Chordata; Mammalia; Rodentia; Chinchillidae
Description: lncRNA (ENSCLAG00000022252.1)
Source: RNAcentral